This 58-nucleotide transfer RNA is filed under the name Boodlea composita. RNAcentral's name for it is "tRNA-His". Lineage: Eukaryota; Viridiplantae; Chlorophyta; Ulvophyceae; Cladophorales; Boodleaceae. The record is from RNAcentral.
UGUGAGGCGGCCGGUUGCACGGUGUUUGGCUGUGAACCGAUUUGCUCAAACCCCAUCA